AACGAACGCUGGCGGCAUGCCUAACACAUGCAAGUCGAACGAGACCUUCGGGUCUAGUGGCGCACGGGCGCGUAACGCGUGGGAACCUGCCCUUAGGUUCGGAAUAACUCCCCGAAAGGGGUGCUAAUACCGGAUAAUGUCUUCGGACCAAAGAUUUAUCGCCUUUGGAUGGGCCCGCGUUGGAUUAGCUAGUUGGUAGGGUAAAAGCCUACCAAGGCGACGAUCCAUAGCUGGUCUGAGAGGAUGAUCAGCCACACUGGGACUGAGACACGGCCCAGACUCCUACGGGAGGCAGCAGUGGGGAAUAUUGGACAAUGGGCGAAAGCCUGAUCCAGCAAUGCCGCGUGAGUGAUGAAGGCCUUAGGGUUGUAAAGCUCUUUUACCCGGGAUGAUAAUGACAGUACCGUGAGAAUAAGCUCCGGCUAACUCCGUG
Molecule: ribosomal RNA, 433 nt
Filed under: uncultured bacterium
Lineage: Bacteria
Description: partial 16S ribosomal RNA
Rfam family: Bacterial small subunit ribosomal RNA
Source: RNAcentral